CCUACGGGUGGCAGCAGUGGGGAAUAUUGCACAAUGGGGGAAACUCUGAUGUAGCGAAGCCGCGUGAAGGAAGAAGUAUUUCGGUAUGUAAACUUCUAUCAACAGGGAAGAAAAUGACGGUACCUGACUAAGAAUCCCCGGAUAACUACUUGCCAGCAGCCGCGGUAAUAUGUAGGGGGCAAGCGUUAUCCGGAUUUAAUGGGUGUAAAGGGAAAGUAGGCGGUUUAGCAAGUCAGAAGUGAAAGCCCGGGGCUCAACUCCGGGAUUGCUUUUGAAACUGGUGAACUAGAUUGCAGGAGAGGUAAGUGGAAUUCCUAGUGUAGCGGUGAAAUGCGUAGAUAUUAGGAGGAACACCAGUGGCGAAGGCGGCUUACUGGACUGUAAAUGACGCUGAGGCUCGAAAGCGUGGGGAGCAAACAGGAUUAGAUACCCCGGUAGUC
RNAcentral lists this ribosomal RNA (440 nucleotides) under uncultured bacterium. RNAcentral's name for it is "partial 16S ribosomal RNA". It matches the Rfam family "Bacterial small subunit ribosomal RNA", at positions 338 to 795 of the family's 1533-position model. The record is from RNAcentral.